This 169-nucleotide non-coding RNA is filed under the name uncultured Ruminococcus sp. Its description in RNAcentral is "malK-I RNA". It matches the Rfam family "malK-I RNA". The record is from RNAcentral. Lineage: Bacteria; Bacillati; Bacillota; Clostridia; Eubacteriales; Oscillospiraceae.
GCGCCGUUUCACUCCACUGUAUGAGCGGCGUACAUCCAGAAGGAGGUUAUGUCAACACCGUCAGACUCACGGUGCGGCAGCGUGGAGACCUGCCGUAAUGCGGAUCAGCACAAAGCGGCUGACCGUGAGGCGGUUUUGCGGAGGCAUUAUCGUCAGAGUCGUGUUUAUG